CCUACGGGAGGCAGCAGUGGGGAAUAUUGGUCAAUGGGCGCAAGGCUGACCCAGCAACGCCGCGUGAAGGAAGAAGGCUCUCUGGUUGUAAACUUCUUUUAAUAAGGACGUAACAAAUUACGGGACUUGAUGUUUAAGUCUCGGCUAUCUAUGUGCCAGCAGCCGCGGUAAUACGUAGGUUGCAAGCGUUAGCCGGAUUUACUGGGUGUAAAGGGUGUGUAGGCGGGACUGUAAGUCAGAGGUGAAAGUCAUGGGCUCAACCAAAGUUUUGCAUUUGAAACUGGAGUUCUUGAGUGUGUGGGAGGUAGGCGGAAUUCGGUGUGUAGCGGUGAAAUGCGUAGAUAUAAGGCAGAACACCAGUGGCGAAGGCAGCUUGCUAAGCAAUAACUGACGCUGAGGCGCGAAAGCGUGGGGAGCAAACAGGAUUAGAUACCCUAGUAGUC
Molecule: ribosomal RNA, 443 nt
Filed under: uncultured bacterium
Lineage: Bacteria
Description: partial 16S ribosomal RNA
Rfam family: Bacterial small subunit ribosomal RNA
Source: RNAcentral